Long non-coding RNA from Maniola jurtina (meadow brown), 67 nucleotides. RefSeq lists it as uncharacterized. The transcript is spliced from 3 exons. The record is from RefSeq and is a predicted model, not a curated record. Lineage: Eukaryota; Metazoa; Arthropoda; Insecta; Lepidoptera; Nymphalidae.
UAAGGAUAUCCUGUCAAAAACUGACUAGCUAUGCACUAGUCGGUUUUGGUUUGCUUUUUGGCUAAUA